This 84-nucleotide transfer RNA is filed under the name Chlorobium phaeovibrioides. Its description in RNAcentral is "tRNA-Leu". It matches the Rfam family "tRNA". From Rfam's summary of the family: Transfer RNA (tRNA) molecules are approximately 80 nucleotides in length. Their secondary structure includes four short double-helical elements and three loops (D, anti-codon, and T loops). Further hydrogen bonds mediate the characteristic L-shaped molecular structure. tRNAs have two regions of fundamental functional importance: the anti-codon, which is responsible for specific mRNA codon recognition, and the 3' end, to which the tRNAs corresponding amino acid is attached (by aminoacyl-tRNA synthetases). tRNAs cope with the degeneracy of the genetic code in two manners: having more than one tRNA (with a specific anti-codon) for a particular amino acid; and 'wobble' base-pairing, i.e. permitting non-standard base-pairing at the 3rd anti-codon position. Lineage: Bacteria; Pseudomonadati; Chlorobiota; Chlorobiia; Chlorobiales; Chlorobiaceae. The record is from RNAcentral. RNAcentral also lists the same sequence under 1 other name.
GCCAAAGUGGCGGAACUGGUAGACGCGCUGGACUCAAAAUCCAGUGGGAUAACACCCGUGUGGGUUCGAGCCCCACCUUUGGUA